RNAcentral lists this ribosomal RNA (375 nucleotides) under uncultured bacterium. RNAcentral describes it as "bacterial SSU rRNA". It matches the Rfam family "Bacterial small subunit ribosomal RNA", at positions 335 to 704 of the family's 1533-position model. The record is from RNAcentral.
ACUCCUACGGGAGGCAGCAGUGGGGAAUAUUGCACAAUGGGCGCAAGCCUGAUGCAGCCAUGCCGCGUGUGUGAAGAAGGCCUUGGGUUGUAAAGCACUUUCAGUCGUGAGGAAGGUAGUGUAGUUAAUAGCUGCAUUAUUUGACGUUAGCGACAGAAGAAGCACCGGCUAACUCCGUGCCAGCAGCCGCGGUAAUACGGAGGGUGCGAGCGUUAAUCGGAAUUACUGGGCGUAAAGCGCAUGCAGGUGGUUGUUAAGUCAGAUGUGAAAGCCCGGGGCUCAACCUCGGAAUAGCAUUUGAAACUGGCAGACUAGAGUACUGUAGAGGGGGUAGAAGUUUCAGGUGUAGCGGUGAAAUGCGUAGAGAUCUGAAGG